This 301-nucleotide ribosomal RNA is filed under the name uncultured bacterium. RNAcentral's name for it is "partial 16S ribosomal RNA". It matches the Rfam family "Bacterial small subunit ribosomal RNA", at positions 509 to 807 of the family's 1533-position model. The record is from RNAcentral.
CAGUCGCCACGGUAAUACGGAGGGUGCAAGCGUUAAUCGGAAUUACUGGGCGUAAAGGGCGCGUAGGCGGGUUUUUAAGUCAGAGGUGAAAUCCCAAGGCUCAACCUUGGAACUGCCUUUGAUACUGGAAGUCUUGAGUCCGGGAGAGGUGAGUGGAACUGCGAGUGUAGAGGUGAAAUUCGUAGAUAUUUGCAAGAACACCAGUGGCGAAGGCGGCUCACUGGCCCGGUACUGACGCUGAGGUGCGAAAGCGUGGGGAGCAAACAGGAUUAGAUACCCCCGUAGUCCCUGUCUCUUAUAC